AGUGAACGCUGGCGGUAGGCCUAACACAUGCAAGUCGAACGGCAGCACAGUAAGAGCUUGCUCUUACGGGUGGCGAGUGGCGGACGGGUGAGGAAUACAUCGGAAUCUACUUUUUCGUGGGGAUGACGUAGGGAAACUUACGCUAAUACCGCAUACGACCUACGGGUGAAAGCAGGGGAUCUUCGGACCUUGCGCGAUUGAAUGAGCCGAUGUCGGAUUAGCUAGUUGGCGGGGUAAAGGCCCACCAAGGCGACGAUCCGUAGCUGGUCUGAGAGGAUGAUCAGCCACACUGGAACUGAGACACGGUCCAGACUCCUACGGGAGGCAGAAGUGGGGAAUAUUGGACAAUGGGCGCAAGCCUGAUCCAGCCAUACCGCGGGGGUGAAGAAGGCCUUCGGGUUGUAAAGCCCUUUUGUUGGGAAAGAAAAGCAGCAGGUUAAUACCCCGCUGUUCUGACGGUACCCAAAGAAUAAGCACCGGCUAACUUCGUG
Molecule: ribosomal RNA, 491 nt
Filed under: uncultured bacterium
Lineage: Bacteria
Description: partial 16S ribosomal RNA
Rfam family: Bacterial small subunit ribosomal RNA
Source: RNAcentral